GGAAGUUAUGAUACAAACCUAAAGGUUAGUCUGGAGGACUCCCCCAUGGUUUUUCAUUUGAUGCCAUGUGAUUUAUAUGAUAGAAUUGCUUCCUCAAUAUAUGACUGCUUAAAGAAACUUUUUAAAACUUCGGUUAUCCUAGCCUUUGUGUUGGGAUACCUUGCUAAAAGUGUUAAUACCUGUGUCAAGUCUGUUAGGGAGGAGUUUUUUAGAGGUAAGGUGUAGAUUUUUAAGAUAAUUGUAAUUAGUUGACAUGUUUGGGAGCAAGGUUAUUUAAUGAGGUAAGGUUUUUGAGGGUUUUUGGAGGUUUUGAAAACCUCCAAAACACUUAAUAGUAAUUUUAUAUUUCCUAUAUUAUCCUCUUUAUUUUUUUUUAGAUUAUAUAUUUUAUGUUAACCAUGUUAUCCUCCAACAGUGCUGAUGUUGGCAUGUCCAAAGGAUCAAAGAUUGAUACCAUUUCCCUUUUUUUUCAAAUUAUAAAAUGUUAGUUUUCAACUUGUUGGAUUAUUGCACUUCUCUUUGCAUUUGUUAGAUUAUGCUGAUUUUCUUAUGUUUAUUUCUAGAUUUUAUUUGAAAAAACAGUAUGAAUUUUUUUUUCAAGAUUUAUUUUCUUGUAUUUAGUUUUUUCUUAAAUUUUAUUUGGAAAAUCAUAUUUGUUAAAAAAUAAAUAUGAUUAAUUUAAAUGUUAAAAUAUAUCUCCUUAAGUAAUAAAGAUAUUUUUGUAAUCUCAUACUUUACCUUACCUUUCCAUAUCUUCCUUCCACAAACAAUAUCAAGUUAUUAAACUAUCAUUUACUGUACCUUUCUUUCAAACAAAAUAAGAUUAAAAAAACCUUACCUUACUUUCCAUUACUUUAUCUUACUUUACUUAAAAAGAAUCUUACCUUACCUCCUUACACUUCUUUUUGUGAGUCCGGACCCCAAUGUGAUAAAAUGGGCUCUUUAUAUAUUAGUUUAACUCCUUAUUCCUGCACAUGUCCUGUCUAUAAAUUAUCACCCAUUUAGAUGUAGACUAUUCUAUUUUUGGUCUUCUAAAACAAAUAUUGUGUGAACCUAAACAUCUGGAAUGAUUGUCCAGAGAAAACUAAAAAAUUGGCAAGUUUUUUUACUGCAUCGAAUAAUCAUUCCUUUUUAUUCAAGCUGUUUUAUCAUUGUUAUGAUUCUAUGUGCAUAUGGAUAAACAUUAAAAUUUAAUGCAACCUAUCCUGCUGAAAGCACGUAAACAUUUUGUUUUCAUUCAAUCUGUUUUAUCCGUUUUAUCAUUGUUAUGAUUCUACGAGCGUGUGGAUGGACAUUAAAAUUUAAUGCAACCUAUCCUGCUGAAAGCACGUAAACAUUUUGUUUUCAUUCAAUCUGUUUUAUCCGUUUUAUCAUUGUUAUGAUUCUACGAGCGUGUGGAUGG
This 1402-nucleotide unclassified non-coding RNA is filed under the name Hevea brasiliensis (rubber tree). The record is from RNAcentral. Lineage: Eukaryota; Viridiplantae; Streptophyta; Magnoliopsida; Malpighiales; Euphorbiaceae.